UUCAAAGUAGUAAAUAAUAUUACAUUAAGCUGUAAACUUAAAGUUAGGAAAACCUCUUUGAAA
RNAcentral lists this transfer RNA (63 nucleotides) under Laemobothrion tinnunculi. RNAcentral describes it as "tRNA-Tyr". Lineage: Eukaryota; Metazoa; Arthropoda; Insecta; Psocodea; Laemobothriidae. The record is from RNAcentral.